AGUGCACUGGUGGGGUCCCUCAGCCUGGUCUGUGCCCUCUCACAAUCCAGGACCCCUCAGGGGAUGUUGGAGAGCUGGUUUCAGCCCAAUCUCCACAGGCUAGGCUGAGGGACCCCACCGGUGCAUG
RNAcentral lists this microRNA precursor (127 nucleotides) under Myotis davidii. RNAcentral describes it as "mir-9193 microRNA precursor family". It matches the Rfam family "mir-9193 microRNA precursor family". Lineage: Eukaryota; Metazoa; Chordata; Mammalia; Chiroptera; Vespertilionidae. The record is from Rfam by way of RNAcentral.